UAGGGAAUCUUCCACAAUGGACGAAAGUCUGAUGGAGCAACGCCGCGUGAGUGAUGAAGGUUUUCGGAUCGUAAAACUCUGUUGUAAGGGAAGAACACGUACGAGAGGAAAUGCUCGUACCUUGACGGUACCUUACGAGAAAGCCACGGCUAACUACGUGCCAGCAGCCGCGGUAAUACGUAGGUGGCAAGCGUUGUCCGGAAUUAUUGGGCGUAAAGCGCGCGCAGGCGGCCUUUUAAGUCUGAUGUGAAAGCCCCCGGCUCAACCGGGGAGGGCCAUUGGAAACUGGAAGGCUUGAGUACAGAAGAGAAGAGUGGAAUUCCACGUGUAGCGGUGAAAUGCGUAGAGAUGUGGAGGAACACCAGUGGCGAAGGCGACUCUUUGGUCUGUAACUGACGCUGAGGCGCGAAAGCGUGGGGAGCAAACAGG
This 429-nucleotide ribosomal RNA is filed under the name uncultured bacterium. RNAcentral's name for it is "bacterial SSU rRNA". It matches the Rfam family "Bacterial small subunit ribosomal RNA", at positions 355 to 776 of the family's 1533-position model. RNAcentral also lists the same sequence under 1 other name. The record is from RNAcentral.